Lepisosteus oculatus (spotted gar) is the source of this 119-nucleotide ribosomal RNA. NCBI's taxonomy places the organism in Eukaryota, Metazoa, Chordata, Actinopteri, Semionotiformes, Lepisosteidae. The record is from Rfam.
UUUAGCAGCCAUAUCACCCUGCAACUCACAACUGGCAGCCCACUGAAGCUCAGCAGGUGUGAGCCUGGUCAGUACCUGGAUGGGAGACCUCCUGGGAAAAACUAAGGCUGCUGCUGGAG